GAGAUGAGCGCUACACAGUCAAUGGCGGAAAGCGGGGUGAGCAGCCUCCAGCGCUCCGGCCUCAGCAUCACCGUCGGCGACACGAAGUCUAUUGUGCUAGCGUUGCAGGCGCUCCAGAGCAAGAUUCGCUCUCUCGAGCAAGACCGUGACUUUCAUCAAGAUCAGUACGAGGUGGCACUUCAGGCCCACGAGCGUUACAAGCUGGACAUGGAGCGCCAGAUGGAGCAAGAGCGUGCGGCACACCGUAAGAGGGAGGCGGAUCUGCUAGAGCUACUGCGCAGGGCGCGCGAAGAGCGAGCGCAGCUAGAGGACACCCUCAGCGGCAACAAGGAAGACCUCGGCGGCUUCCGGCGUGAGCUGGAGCAAAUGAUCGCCUCUGAAAAGGAGCUGGCGAGCCAGCGCGAGUCAAAGAUAAACAUGGAGGUGGCGAAGCUGCGUAGCGAAAUCAAGGAGGAGCAGACGCACCGAGCUGCUCUGUUGGUGACUGUGGAAAAGCUGAAGGAGGAGCGUGAGGCAGCUUUGAAAACGAACGAGCAGCUUCGGAUAGCCAUGGACGGUUUACUCACUCGCUAUGAGCAGCUGCAACGGCGCCGUCCGGCGCCUCAAGCGGUGCCGCGCCGGUAUCCGAGCAGUGGUGUAAGCUGUGAGACACACUCGCGGGCAGCACCGGCCACUGGUGCGCACCCACGGCGGAGCGUUAGUGGCCGCACCCGCUCUCUCGGGUAUGAACCGCCGCGCGAGCUGCAGCGGUCCGCAUUGCCUGCACGUCAGCGCAAGGUGUCUCCUUCGCUGCACCACAACUACGAAGACCCAACAUGUAACUCGAUUCUCCGUGAUGUGCGCAUCGUCCCGGAGGAGGCCCCGCCGUGCGCCUACCCGUCAGCGAAUUCAUCCAUGCAUCACUCGCAGCAGGAAGCGGCGGAGACGACCGGAAAGGCGAUCGCGGCUCGCAGCGGGCAAGGCCUGAGAGCACAGGCGACAGCUGCGCCGUCUCGAUCUGGAAGGCCAUCGCCUGCUCGCCGGCCCCCGGAGACUGGCGUGGCUGGCCCCUCAGCGCACCGCACGACGGCGAUAGAUGAGGUGGAGGCGCAACUCCGACAGGAGUUGGAGGAGCUGCAGCACCGCUACGAUGAUACGAUCGAGCGCGGUUCGUCCGAAGAGGUGCCGCGUGAGGUGCUCGCAGCUGCACUACACCGUAUUUCUGCCCUUUUGGAGCAAAAGAAGGAGCAGCUAAAGUUGCUCAAGGAGGCGCGGAUGGAGCUGGAGGAGGCUGUGUCGUUCAGUGCGUCUAGAAGCACAAACACUAAUUGGAGUAUGAACGGUGGCGGCGGCGGCUCACCGUCAACGUUGGCGAUGCAGGACAAGCACACACGCCGCGCUCUUCUCGUCAAUGAGCUUCGCUCUCUCUUAGCUGAGGCCGCGAAAGGCGGCUGAGUGCAAGGCUGCUACUGAAAAGACCACCGUUGAGUUGCAGAGGCUCAGCUACCUCUGCCGGCGGUACACGCACCCGUACCACAGCGCAAGCAGCUGAUCGAAAUCGAUUGCCCUGCCCUCAUGCUCUUGAGAGCAUACGAAGCAUCGCCUUAUUUUUUUCCGACACGACCAUCUCUCUUGUUCAACAUCCAGUUGAUCGCCCCGUAGACGCUUCUGCGCAGCCUUUGCGUGUGCGCCAACGGUGCCGUUCCGAGAGUCGAUGGAGCACUACCCCCUUGUUGUUGGUUCUCUGUGCCUCGAGCACCAUUCGCGCACAACAUGCCACACACAGUGAGAGAGAAAGAGCGAGCGCAGUGCAGUGCGUGUGUGGCGGAUGCCCCUCACUCCCCUUCUUUUUUUUUCAUUGCUUGCUUUGAUUCGUCUCGUCCUUCUGCCACCAUGGGCCUCCUCUGUGCCCCCCCCCCCUCCCUCCCACACACACACACACACACACGAGACUAUGAGACAUACACGCGGAGAAG
Molecule: unclassified non-coding RNA, 1955 nt
Filed under: Leishmania donovani
Lineage: Eukaryota; Euglenozoa; Kinetoplastea; Trypanosomatida; Trypanosomatidae
Description: gene:LdHU3.36.2120(CDS-product:hypothetical_prote in_conserved)
Source: RNAcentral